GUGCAUUGUGGGAUAUUACGGUGUUCUUUAUUUCCAUAGAACAUCUGGACUCUAACCAUGCAAUAUAAUCCCAAGGAGUGAUCAGGGCUUCCAGCCUUUAAGCACAGGCUGAGUAGUAGUAUAUCCCUCCUACAUAC
Bufo bufo (common toad) is the source of this 137-nucleotide small nucleolar RNA. RefSeq annotates it as small nucleolar RNA U109. The record is from RefSeq and is a predicted model, not a curated record. NCBI's taxonomy places the organism in Eukaryota, Metazoa, Chordata, Amphibia, Anura, Bufonidae. The transcript has a single exon.